UGUGAACAUACCAUACGUUGCCUCGGCAGGUGCCGGGUCUCGCCGAGAGGCGGGCCCGGCGCAGCCUGCCGGCGGCCCAUCAAACUCUGUUUAAUAACUGUAUCUCUGAGGCUAUUUCUAAAUGAAUUAAAACUUUCAACAACGGAUCUCUUGGUUCUGGCAUCGAUGAAGAACGCAGCGAAACGCGAUAGUUAAUGUGAAUUGCAGAAUUUAGUGAAUCAUCGAAUCUUUGAACGCACAUUGCGCCCGUUAGUAUUCUAGCGGGCAUGCCUGUUCGAGCGUCAUUUCAACCCUCAAGCCCUAGUUGCUUGGUGUUGGGAGGCUACGGUUGUACCUCCUGAAAUGUAGUGGCGGAGCCGGUCCUCGCUCUAGACGUAGUAGGUUCUAUCUCGUCUAUCAGCUGGGCCGGUCCCCUGCCGUAAAACCCCCCCAAUUUAUCAAGGCGGCGAGUGAAGCGGCAACAGCUCAAAUUUGAAAUCUGGCCCUCGGGUCCGAGUUGUAAUUUGUAGAGGAUGCUUUUGGCGCGGUGCCUUCCGAGUUCCCUGGAACGGGACGCCUUAGAGGGUGAGAGCCCCGUACGGUUGGACACCAAGCCUCUGUAAAGCUCCUUCGACGAGUCGAGUAGUUUGGGAAUGCUGCUCUAAAUGGGAGGUAAAUUUCUUCUAAAGCUAAAUAUUGGCCAGAGACCGAUAGCGCACAAGUAGAGUGAUCGAAAGAUGAAAAGCACUUUGAAAAGAGGGUUAAAUAGCACGUGAAAUUGUUGAAAGGGAAGCGUUUGCGACCAGACCUUUUCCUGGCGGAUCAUCCGGUGUUCUCACCGGUGCACUUCGCCAGGUUCAGGCCAGCAUCGGUUUCUGCGGGGGGAUAAAAGCUCUGGGAACGUGGCUCCUCCGGGAGUGUUAUAGCCCUCUGCAUAAUACCCUCGCGGGGACCGAGGACCGCGCUUCGGCAAGGAUGCUGGCGUAAUGGUCGUCAACGACCCGUCUUGAAACACGGACCAAGGAGUCGAACAUUUGUGCGAGUGUUUGGGUGUUAAACCCUCACGCGUAAUGAAGGUGAACGUAGGUGAGAGCCCCUCGGGGUGCAUCAUCGACCGAUCCUGAUGUCUUCGGAUGGAUUUGAGUAAGAGCAUA
This 1133-nucleotide small RNA is filed under the name Xylariales sp. TU22. RNAcentral describes it as "eukaryotic LSU rRNA". The stretch from base 374 to 1133 matches the Rfam family "Eukaryotic large subunit ribosomal RNA", at positions 1 to 804 of the family's 3401-position model. Lineage: Eukaryota; Fungi; Ascomycota; Sordariomycetes; Xylariales. The record is from RNAcentral.